Molecule: ribosomal RNA, 279 nt
Filed under: uncultured bacterium
Lineage: Bacteria
Description: partial 16S ribosomal RNA
Rfam family: Bacterial small subunit ribosomal RNA
Source: RNAcentral
UGCCAGCCGCCGCGGUAAUACGAAGGGUGCGAGCGUUGUUCGGAUUUAUUGGGCGUAAAGCGCGCGCAGGCGGAUUAAUAAGUCAGGUGUGAAAUCUCGGAGCUUAACUCCGAAACUGCGCCUGAAACUGUUUAUCUAGAAUCUCGGAGAGGAAAGCGGAAUUUCGCAUGUAGGAGUAAAAUCCGUAGAGAUGCGAAGGAACACCUGAGGCGAAGGCGGCUUUCUGGACGAGUAUUGACGCUGAGGCGCGAAAGCGUGGGGAGCAAACAGGAUUAGAUA